RNAcentral lists this ribosomal RNA (467 nucleotides) under uncultured bacterium. RNAcentral describes it as "partial 16S ribosomal RNA". It matches the Rfam family "Bacterial small subunit ribosomal RNA", at positions 28 to 507 of the family's 1533-position model. The record is from RNAcentral.
GACGAACGCUGGCGGCGUGCUUAACACAUGCAAGUCGAACGGAAAGGCCCUGCUUUUGUGGGGUGCUCGAGUGGCGAACGGGUGAGUAACACGUGAGUAACCUGCCCUUGACUUUGGGAUAACUUCAGGAAACUGGGGCUAAUACCGGAUAGGAGCUCCUGCUGCAUGGUGGGGGUUGGAAAGUUUCGGCGGUUGGGGAUGGACUCGCGGCUUAUCAGCUUGUUGGUGGGGUAGUGGCUUACCAAGGCUUUGACGGGUAGCCGGCCUGAGAGGGUGACCGGCCCCAUGGGAACGGGGGAACGGCCAGGACGCCUACGGGGGGAAGCGGUGGGGAUUAUUGCACAAUGGGCGGAGGCCGGAUGCAGAAACGCCGCGUGGGGAAUGACGGCCUUCGGGUUGUAAACGGCUUUCGCCUGUGACGAGGCGUGGGGACGGGAAAUGGGUAAGAAGCACCGGCUAACUACGUG